CAGGUGGUGCAUGGUUGUCGUCAGCUCGUGUCGUGAGAUGUUGGGUUAAGUCCCGCAACGAGCGCAACCCUCGCCUCUAGUUGCCAGCAUUCGGUUGGGCACUCUAGAGGGACUGCCGGCGACAAGUCGGAGGAAGGUGGGGAUGACGUCAAAUCAUCAUGCCCCUUAUGACCUGGGCUACACACGUGCUACAAUGGGCGGUACAAAGGGCUGCGAACCCGCGAGGGGGAGCGAAUCCCAAAAAGCCGCUCUCAGUUCGGAUUGCAGGCUGCAACUCGCCUGCAUGAAGCCGGAAUCGCUAGUAAUCGCGGAUCAGCAUGCCGCGGUGAAUACGUUCCCGGGCCUU
RNAcentral lists this ribosomal RNA (346 nucleotides) under uncultured Geobacillus sp. Its description in RNAcentral is "bacterial SSU rRNA". It matches the Rfam family "Bacterial small subunit ribosomal RNA", at positions 1035 to 1382 of the family's 1533-position model. Lineage: Bacteria; Bacillati; Bacillota; Bacilli; Caryophanales; Anoxybacillaceae. The record is from RNAcentral.